This 399-nucleotide long non-coding RNA is filed under the name Chinchilla lanigera (long-tailed chinchilla). RNAcentral's name for it is "lncRNA (ENSCLAG00000024016.1)". Lineage: Eukaryota; Metazoa; Chordata; Mammalia; Rodentia; Chinchillidae. The record is from RNAcentral.
GAUGAAUUGUAAGUGUCGAGGUUAUGGUUGGAGAUAAAAGUAAUCUACACAGAGCAUUCUGCAAAAGAUACAAGUAGUGAACUGGCUUUUGAAAUUCCGCAUGGAGAAUAUGUCCCAACAACCACGAAUUACAUCCAGACAGCGCCAUCUACCAGUAGCACUCCAAACUGCAAAAGCGAAGCGAAAGCAGAAGAAGCUGUGCGAACUGGAGGACCACCACAAGCUCUGGGCUGAAGCGUGAGCACAUUUCCAAGACGAAGCAUAAAUACAUGCAUGAGUUACUGAAUCAGCUUGGGGAUUUGAAUGUGUUCUAAGAAGUCAAAGAGAAAAAUCUGCUUACAAACAUAAACAAUAAAGAGUUGUAAAUAUUAGUUAUUUGCCUCAAGGUAUUUCUUUUUU